RNAcentral lists this ribosomal RNA (497 nucleotides) under uncultured bacterium. RNAcentral's name for it is "partial 16S ribosomal RNA". It matches the Rfam family "Bacterial small subunit ribosomal RNA", at positions 28 to 507 of the family's 1533-position model. The record is from RNAcentral.
GAUGAACGCUGGCGGCGUGCCUAACACAUGCAAGUCGAGCGAACAGACGAGGAGCUUGUUCCUCUGAGGUUAGCGACGGACGGGUGAGUAACACGUGGAUAACCAACCUAUAUGACUGGGGUAACUUCGGGAAACCGGAGCUAAUACCGGAUAAUAUAUUCAACCGCAUGGUUCAAUAGUGACUGAUGGUUUUGCUGUUACUUAUAGAUGGUUCCGCGCCGCAUUAGCUAGUUGGUAAGGUAACGGCUUACCAAGGCGACGAUGCGUAGCCGACCUGAGAGGGUGAUCGGCCACACUGGAACUGAGACACGGUCCAGACUCCUACGGGAGGCAGCAGUAGGGAAUCUUGGGCAAUGGGCGAAAGCCUGAUGCAGCAAUGCCGCGUGGGUGAAGAAGGCCUUCGGGUCGUAAAGCCCUGUUAUUAGGGAAGAACAACUGCGUAUUUAUCUGUAGACGUCUUGACGGUACCUAAUGAAUAAGCAACGGCUAACUACGUG